ACUGUCCCUAGAGGUUUUGCAGGUAUGGCUGCUGUGUCUCUUGUAUUCAAGUUGGUGGCAGGGAAGAGAGAAGCUAUGUCUACAUUUACUGUUCUUCCUAUGAGCAUCUGAUUCAUUAGUGUCCCAACAUU
Arvicanthis niloticus (Nile rat) is the source of this 131-nucleotide small nucleolar RNA. RefSeq annotates it as small nucleolar RNA SNORA17. Lineage: Eukaryota; Metazoa; Chordata; Mammalia; Rodentia; Muridae. The record is from RefSeq and is a predicted model, not a curated record.